This 253-nucleotide ribosomal RNA is filed under the name uncultured bacterium. RNAcentral's name for it is "partial 16S ribosomal RNA". It matches the Rfam family "Bacterial small subunit ribosomal RNA", at positions 524 to 776 of the family's 1533-position model. The record is from RNAcentral.
UACGGGGGGGGCAAGCGUUGUUCGGAAUUACUGGGCGUAAAGGGCUCGUAGGCGGCCAACUAAGUCAGACGUGAAAUCCCCAGGCUCAACCUGGGAACUGCGUCUGAUACUGGAUGGCUUGAAUUCGGGAGAGGGAUGCAGAAUUCCAGGUGUAGCGGUGAAAUGCGUAGAUAUCUGGAGGAAUACCGGUGGCGAAGGCGGCAUCCUGGACCGACAUUGACGCUGAUGAGCGAAAGCCAGGGGAGCAAACGGG